RNAcentral lists this ribosomal RNA (372 nucleotides) under uncultured organism. RNAcentral describes it as "partial 16S ribosomal RNA". It matches the Rfam family "Bacterial small subunit ribosomal RNA", at positions 527 to 896 of the family's 1533-position model. The record is from RNAcentral.
GUAGGUGGCAAGCGUUGUCCGGAAUUAUUGGGCGUAAAGCGCGCGCAGGCGGUUCUUUAAGUCUGAUGUGAAAGCCCACGGCUCAACCGUGGAGGGUCAUUGGAAACUGGAGAACUUGAGUACAGAAGAGGAAAGCGGAAUUCCACGUGUAGCGGUGAAAUGCGUAGAGAUGUGGAGGAACACCAGUGGCGAAGGCGGCUUUCUGGUCUGUAGCUGACGCUGAGGCGCGAAAGCGUGGGGGAGCAAACAGGAUUAGAUACCCUGGUAGUCCACGCCGUAAACGAUGAGUGCUAAGUGUUAGGGGGUUUUCCGCCCCUUAGUGCUGCAGCUAACGCAUUAAGCACUCCGCCUGGGAGUACGGCCGCAAGGCUG